GACUCCAUAGUAUAGUGGUUAGCACAUCUGCUUUACACGCAGAAGGUCCUGGGUUCGCACCGCAGGUGGAGCUA
Non-coding RNA from Pteropus alecto (black flying fox), 74 nucleotides. The record is from Rfam. NCBI's taxonomy places the organism in Eukaryota, Metazoa, Chordata, Mammalia, Chiroptera, Pteropodidae.